AGCCCCGUGCCAGUCGGCGGUGGUUGGUUGAACCGCCGCAGCAGCCUGACCGUACAGCAGUGCAGUCGAGCCGGGGAGACUCAGCAAGAGCAGCUGUCCGAGCAAAUGAAGGCACACUCCUCGGAAAACAUGUCUCCCCCAAAGAUUAUCCGCAACAUAUAAGCCUUUUCGUUCCUUAUUUUUGCGGGUUUCUGACGGUCCGCGUCGUCGCUUACCUGUUUCUUCCCCCUACCGACCGCCACUUGGACCAGCACCUCCCGGAGGCUGAAUGGAAGCCGAGGGAGCGGUCGGGCUCUCGGAGGCCAGGGACGGGAGUCCUCUAUCCGGGGCCGCAUCAUCUGAUGAUGCUGACACGGUCGUCGGGGUUAGCUUCGGAAUGGACGCCGGAGACAUGGAUGCUGCAGCAAGGAAAGCCUUCAUCACAGAGAUGCCAUCCUCUUCAGGGCUUCCUGGUCAGGGGAAGAAAAUUGGCCACAGAGGUGUCGAUGCCUCUGGAGAAACUACGUACAAAAAGACCACAUCCUCAGCCCUAAAAGGAGCCAUCCAACUUGGCAUCGGCUACACGGUGGGCAACUUGAGCUCUAAACCAGAGAGAGAUGUGUUGAUGCAGGACUUCUAUGUUGUGGAGAGCAUCUUUUUUCCCAGUGAAGGGAGCAACCUCACCCCAGCACAUCACUUCCCAGAUUUCCGCUUCAAAACGUACGCUCCUGUGGCUUUCCGCUACUUCCGAGAGCUGUUUGGAAUAAGGCCGGAUGACUACUUGUAUUCGCUAUGUAACGAACCACUGAUCGAGCUGUCCAAUCCCGGCGCGAGCGGCUCCGUCUUCUAUCUUACCAAGGACGACGAGUUCAUCAUCAAAACGGUCAUGCACAAGGAGGCCGAGUUCUUACAGAAGCUGCUGCCGGGCUACUACAUGAACUUGAAUCAGAACCCUCGCACUCUGCUGCCCAAGUUCUUUGGGCUCUACUGCGUCCAGUCCGGAGGCAAGAACAUCCGCGUGGUGGUGAUGAACAACGUGUUGCCCCGUGUUGUGCGCAUGCACCUCAAGUACGACCUGAAGGGCUCCACAUACAAGAGGCGAGCGUCCAAGAAGGAACGCGAGAAGGCCCGGCCCACGUUCAAGGACCUGGACUUCAUGCAGGACCUGCAGGACGGACUCAUGCUGGAUCAAGACACGUUCAACGCGCUGGUGAAAACGCUGCAGAGAGACUGCCUGGUGCUAGAAAGCUUCAAGAUCAUGGACUACAGCCUCCUGCUGGGUGUUCACAACAUGGACCAGGCAGAGAGGGAGCGGCAGAUGGAAGGCUCCCAAGGCGGCAGUGACGAGAAAAGGCCUCUGGCCCAGCAGAAGGCCCUCUAUUCCACCGCCAUGGAGUCCAUCCAGGGUGGCGCCGCCUGCGGGGGGUCCAUCGACACCGAAGACACGAUGGGCGGCAUUCCUGCCGUCAACGGGAAAGGAGAACGACUUUUGUUGUACAUUGGCAUCAUUGAUAUCUUACAGUCGUACAGGUUAAUCAAGAAACUGGAGCACACGUGGAAGGCUUUAGUGCACGAUGGGGACACCGUCUCGGUCCACCGGCCCGGAUUCUACGCCGACAGGUUCUUCAAGUUCAUGAGCAGCACCGUUUUUAGGAAGAGCUCCUCUUUGAAAUCGUCUCCAUCCAAGAAGGGCCGCGUGUCGCUGACUGUACCAAAGUGUGGCGGUCCCGGCCCCGCCUGGUCUGCCAGCCAGCUCGCCUCCGAGAGAGACGAGAACAUCUACGAUCUCAGAGGCGCUCGCAGUUUCCCGACGCUGGAAGAUGAAGGCCGCGCCGAUCUGCCAUGCACGCCACCGUCGUUUGAGGAAGCCACCACGGCAUCCAUCGCCACCACACUGUCCUCCACGACUUCUCUGUCCAUCCCCGAACGAUCUCCCUGCGACACCACUGAGCACCCGCGCUACAGGAGGCACACCCAGUCUCUCAGCCAUGAUGGAAGGACCCAGGAGGAACUGCGUGUACGUGAGGAGGACCAGCAGACCAUCACAGUGGAGGUGGAGUUAAAGAGACACGACAGUGAGCCAACCAUCACAAUUCCCCAGCCAUUGCUUGAACCCAGUGAGGCUCAGGAAGCUGCUGCUGCACCUUGCACCUCCUCUUCAGCACCCGAAGCCGCUGCCUCGCCCGCCGCUGUCGCUUCAGCUGCUGUCGUUUCCGCUGAUGGCGAGGCAACGGCAGCCGCUCCGUGCAGCCCCAAACUGGUGGUGGUCACGCCGGACACUGCCAGCCACGCGUCGGGCUCAGGAUGCACCAGCCAGGCUUCGGUGGACGAUGAGGAUGACGUGCCAGUCACCGACAUCUACUUUUUCCCCGAUGGAAGGUCUUGGGUGGUCUCUCCUCUCCGACGGAGGGGCAAGUGGCGGUCCAGAUGGCCAGGAGCAGCUGGAUCCAAGUUCCAACCAUGUUAGAUGAGCCUCCAGAGGACAGGACCUGGGUGUACUCUCCGCUACACUAUGGCUCAGAGUCUAAGGCCCUGCCAGAUGGGGACUGGGAAAGAGAGACAUAAAGCCUGUUUUGUGACUGAAAGGUGUGAAGGGGACAGUCCUUCCGAAGCUUAAAUCCUCCUCAACGGUUGCAGUGCCAUCUUUCGGGCCAAGAGGGGACCAAGUCCCACCAGACUGGCAAAACAGUGAGGUCCCUGCCAUUUACGUAGGAUACUUGUGUUUACGUGUGACAUAGUACAAGUAUGCGCGUGUGUUAUAUGUUUUUGACGUGACACAUUUGCGUUGUAUUUCGCAUUAACAUCUAAAGGCUCGUCUUUCUUGCCCAAUGGUGGCCAUAUUAAAGUAGGACAAAUAUGUGUGGGUCACAUACAGUAGUAUUAUAUUUAGUUGACAUGGUGACCUCUCCAAUAUGGCUGCCAAACUACAACCCCUGGCAAAAAGUAUGGAAUCUCUAGUCUCGGACAAGCACUCUCUCAGACAUUUUAUCAUGUUGAACAAACUCGGAUAAAAAGCUUGAAAAAAUAAUUAAUUAGUUCAAAAGUGCAAGUCUUUAGCAUUCAGAAAUACUAAAAGAAAUGAAUAAAAAAUAUUGUGGUGGUCAGUAAAUGUUACUUUUAUAGAGCAAGUGCAGGGAAAUAUAUAUGUAAUCACUCCUUUCUGAGGGAAAAAAUAUGGAAUCAUGAGAAACAAACAAAGAAAUAACAAUCAAAACACAUCUCUAGUAUUUAGUAGCACCACCUCUGGCUUUUAUGACAGCUUGCAGUCUCUGAGGCAUGGACUUGAUGAAUAUUCUUCAUCAAUUUGGUGCUGAAGUCAGUAUGCAUCUCGCCUAAUGCAAUCAUGUCCAUAAAUGGAGUUGUUUUUCCACAGAAAACCGCUGACAGUUAGUUUUACCUCAGAUAAUCAUGGACUUUUAACUGCCAACCAGCAAGGCUCAUGACCUAUUUUGUAAGAUGAGUUAAUCACCAAACAGACACACCUCCUUUUAAGUAAAGCAUAUAAGCAACGCCAAGCUCUCUGUUCGGCGUGCAUUUCUCUUCACAGCUUUAUUCUGUCAUUGAAUGCACCCAGAAUCUUCCAAAAUUAAAACUGCGUAGUAUUGACCUCUUGCUUCCAGCCUUUAUUCAACAAUCCAGUCUAGCCAUCUUACCUGAAUUGAAAACGAACACGCGGAGGACCUGAAAGACUGCCUCCAACAGUGCCAACUCUCUUUGAUUGCAGUUUCCAGAUCAUCCUUGCAGGUUGGAGCCUUGCUGUGGACCAUUUUUUUUUCAAUUUCCACCACAGGUUUUCAAUAGGGUUGAAAUCUGGGCUAUUUGCAGUCCAUGACGUUGACUGGAUAAGUCUUUCUCCAAGGAAUACUUAAAUAGUUUUAGCUCUGUGGCAUGAUGCAUUGUCAUCUUGGAAAAUGACAAACAUAUUUUCAAUUGAAGGGAUAAGAAAGCUGUCUAAAAUUUCAAUGUAAACUUGUGCAUUUAUUGAAGAUUUAACCACAGCCAUCUCCCCAGUGCUUUUGCCUCAAUGACUGAGGGAUUUUUGAUGUUUUCUUCGUAAAUCUCACUGGAACAGCACCAAACCAAAGUUCCAGCAUCGUCACCUUAUCAAGAGUCAAGAGUCUGCAUUGGACAAGGUGUCAAGAGUCAAAAUUCUGAAUUGGACAAGGUGAUGAUACUGGAACUUUUCAUUUCAUCUCACUUCUUUUAGUGUUUCUGAAUGCUAAAGAGUUGCACUUUUGAACUACUGUAAUUUUCGGACUAUAAGCCGCUACUUUUUCCCCUCAUUUUGCAUCCUGCGCCUUGUAGUCUAGUGAAGCUUAUUUGUUGAUUUAUUUGGGUUAAUAGGUAAGAAUUUUUUUCACUGUGAUGUCAUAAGACCAUCAUAAUGAUGACGUGACACUAACAUUGGCAUUACUGAAUGCUUAUGACGGAUGUCAUUAAGUGUUAUUCAGCAAAUUAUGUCACUUACUCCAUUUAUGUCCAGCUCGGAUGUUUGAAAUCCAUUCGAUAGUGAGACAAUUUGCCUGAUAACACUAAAUGACAUCUGUUAUAAGCAUUAAUUAAUGCUCAUGACCCUGUCAUGUCAUAACUAUGAAUGUCAAAUGACAGUCUUUUGGCGCCACUGUCAAAGUGUUACCAAACACCAUAACUAGCAAUUAAUGAAACAACUGGAACAGCAACUGAAGAAAAAAAUAGCACAAAACAUGAAUUUUGAUUGACAUUAACAUCUGUACCGCUGCAAUGAAUGCUAGGAGGCAUGUUGGAUAACAAGUGUUGACAGCAGGUGGCCGAAGAGGUUGACUGUCUCCCUCAAGGCAGCAGUGAUGGCCAAAUAAAGCUUCUUGAAGCAAUGAAGAUUGGCAGCCAAUUGGUUCAAAGCUUCAUGGUGGUUCAUUUGGUCUUAUGACAGUCAUAUGAUGCCGCUGUCAAAUAAAGUGUUACCGGUUAAUAUCUUUGGGUGUAAAUAUCUCCUAAUACAGUGAGGACCGCUGCGGCUUAUAGUCUAUUGCGGCAUAUCUAUGAACAAAUGUCGUUUUGGUGUCAAAUUUGGUGGGUGGCGGCUUAUAGUCAGGUGCGGCUUAUAGUGCUGAAAUUACGGUAAUUAAUUAUUUUUUUCAAGCUUUUUAUCUGAGUUUGUUCUACAUGGUACAAUGUCUGAGUGAGUGCUCGUCCGAGACUGGUGAUUCCAUACUUUUCACUAGGGGUUGUAUAUGGGGGGUUUAGGUGAGCCACCUGUGGCUAAUAGCAGCGAUCCUUUUCAUUUCAAGUUAUGUUUGAUUUGCAACAUAUAUUUAUCUGCACAUAUAUUUAUUUCUUUUUAAUGUUCCACAUUUUUAAAAAUCGGGUUUCAGCCAAAGAGUUUUAAUUAUUUCGGCACAUUUGUGAGUGCAUUUCUCGUAGAUUAAAUUUCAUAUUUACCAAGGUAGUAGCCUGCCUUAGGGUAAUAAUAGUAUAUGAAUUAGCCCCUAAUAGAUGCUUACCUUAUUGGCUGCCGUUGGCAACGAUCGACGUGCAAUCCGUUCGCGUCCAUUUCAAAUGGAUUGGACGUCGAUCACCGUCAAUAGCAGGGAAAGAAUGGAUAGCCCCAUUAAAAAUGAUCACUUUUUGUCUUUUUUAAAAAUGUUUUAUGUCUAACCGAGGCCAGCAUAUUGCUCACAAUGUGUAUUCAAUCUACUCUCAUCACGGAUGGAGAGCAUAGCAGCAAUAUUUGUACAGUCCUCACCUCGUUUUCCUUUCAAACUGCCUUAUUAGAUUUUCUUUCACUGGUGCAGUCCUAUUUAUUUCUCUUUCUCGUGGUUGUGCUCCUGAGAAUGUGUACAUAAUCAAAAAGAAUAUAUAUAGAAAGAUAUACAGAUAUAUUUUCCAUUGGAAAUGGAGAAUGUUUUUCUUCUUUGGUUUUAUUUUUGCUGCUCGGUCGAGAAACGAUCGCAAUCCAUGUAUUUUGCUGACAUGUUCCUCAGUCCCAUCAAGCAGCUGCAUGCGGCUGUACAUGCAAACCAGUAGGGAUUCUUCCAAUUUGUUCAAUCUGUGUUGUGUGUGUGUGUUGUGUGUCAUCCAAUAGGAAGAGUCCUUUACAGACAGCAUGGUUUCAAAAAUAAGAAUAAUGCAUAUCAGAAAUGUGUAUUUAUGUAUAUCUGUGUAUAUUCAUCUAUUUAUACCAAAGGAUAAAUAGAUGGCUGUAUAUGUGUGCGUGCGUGGGUGCGUGCGUGUCUUUGGACUCAAUCAGAAUGAAGAUGAAAUAAACAGUUCUAUGAAUUGUCCAAUGUAUAUUUUUUUUCUUUAUUACAUAAGCAACAAAUACUGAUCACCAAAUAGUUGACAUAAUUGUUCAUUCUUUAACCUUUGACAUCAGGUGCCACAUCAGAAAAAUGUUGACUCUCCGGUCUCCAGGUACAACUGUUCACAUCUUGCUUGUAACUCUGUUGAAAUACUUCCAUAAAGAGAAAAACAACACCUAGUAUAAACAGAGGUGGGUAGUAACGCAUUUCAUUUACUCUGUUACAUUUACUUGAGUGAAUUUUUGAGAAAAAUGUACUUCUUAGAGUAGUUUUACCACUCAGUACUUUUUACUUGAGUACAUUUGUGAAGAAGAAACACUACUCCGCUACUUUGGGCUACACUAGUCGUUACAUUUUUCCUCUUUAGUCUGCAUAUUGACUUUAUUUUUGCCAGCGAUGCCGACAGUGGCU
Molecule: RNA transcript, 6668 nt
Organism: Corythoichthys intestinalis (scribbled pipefish)
Lineage: Eukaryota; Metazoa; Chordata; Actinopteri; Syngnathiformes; Syngnathidae
Gene: pip5k1ca
Gene name: phosphatidylinositol-4-phosphate 5-kinase, type I, gamma a
Exons: 20
Source: RefSeq, a predicted model, not a curated record